UGUGUCUUGGCUAAUGUGUCUUGGCUAAGGUGUCUUGGCUAAUGUGUCUUGGCUAAGGUGUCUUGGCUAAGGUGUCUUGGCUAUGGUGUCUUGGCUAAGGUGUCUUGGCUAAGGUGUCUUGGCUAAGGUGUCUUGGCUAAUGUGUCUUGGCUAAGGUGUCUUGGCUAAGGUGUCUUCGCUAAUGUGUCUUGGCUAAGGUGUCUUGGCUAAGGUGUCUUGGCUAAUGUGUCUUGGCUAAUGUGUCUUGGCUAAUGUGUCUUGGCUAAUGUGUCUUGGCUAAUGUGUCUUGGCUAAUGUGUCUUGGCUAAUGUGUCUUGGCUAAGGUGUCUUGGCUAAUGUGUCUUGGCUAACGUGUCUUGGCUAAGGUGUCUUGGCUAAUGUGUCUUGGCUAAUGUGUCUUGACUAAGGUGUCUUGGCUAAUGUGUCUUGGCUAAUGUGUC
Long non-coding RNA from Anopheles funestus (African malaria mosquito), 440 nucleotides. RefSeq lists it as uncharacterized. The transcript is spliced from 3 exons. NCBI's taxonomy places the organism in Eukaryota, Metazoa, Arthropoda, Insecta, Diptera, Culicidae. The record is from RefSeq and is a predicted model, not a curated record.